CCUACGGGAGGCAGCAGUGAGGAAUAUUGGUCAAUGGACGAGAGUCUGAACCAGCCAAGUAGCGUGAAGGAUGACUGCCCUAUGGGUUGUAAACUUCUUUUAUAUGGGAAUAAAAUGUUCCACGUGUGGGAUUUUGUAUGUACCAUAUGAAUAAGGAUCGGCUAACUCCGUGCCAGCAGCCGCGGUAAUACGGAGGAUCCGAGCGUUAUCCGGAUUUAUUGGGUUUAAAGGGAGCGUAGGUGGAUUGUUAAGUCAGUUGUGAAAGUUUGCGGCGCAACCGUAAAAUUGCAGUUGAAACUGGCAGUCUUGAGUACAGUAGAGGUGAGCGGAAUUCGUGGUGUAGCGGUGAAAUGCUUAGAUAUCACGAAGAACUCCGAUUGCGAAGGCAGUUCACUGGACUGCAACUGACACUGAGGCUCGAAAGUGUGGGUAUCAAACAGGAUUAGAUACCCUUGUAGUC
RNAcentral lists this ribosomal RNA (460 nucleotides) under uncultured bacterium. Its description in RNAcentral is "partial 16S ribosomal RNA". It matches the Rfam family "Bacterial small subunit ribosomal RNA", at positions 338 to 795 of the family's 1533-position model. The record is from RNAcentral.